UGGGGAAUAUUGCACAAUGGGCGCAAGCCUGAUGCAGCAACGCCGCGUGAACGAUGAAGGUCUUCGGAUCGUAAAGUUCUGUUGCAGGGGAAGAUAAUGACGGUACCCUGUGAGGAAGCCCCGGCUAACUACGUGCCAGCAGCCGCGGUAAUACGUAGGGGGCUAGCGUUAUCCGGAUUUACUGGGCGUAAAGGGUGCGUAGGUGGUCUUUCAAGUCGGUGGUUAAAGGCUACGGCUCAACCGUAGUUAGCCUCCGAAACUGGAAGACUUGAGUGCAGGAGAGGAAAGUGGAAUUCCCAGUGUAGCGGUGAAAUGCGUAGAUAUUGGGAGGAACACCAGUAGCGAAGGCGGCUUUCUGGACUGCAACUGACACUGAGGUACGAAAGCGUGGGUAGCAAACAGG
This 403-nucleotide ribosomal RNA is filed under the name Verrucomicrobiota bacterium. RNAcentral's name for it is "Verrucomicrobia bacterium partial 16S ribosomal RNA". It matches the Rfam family "Bacterial small subunit ribosomal RNA", at positions 355 to 776 of the family's 1533-position model. Lineage: Bacteria; Pseudomonadati; Verrucomicrobiota. The record is from RNAcentral.